Molecule: non-coding RNA, 117 nt
Organism: Pan troglodytes (chimpanzee)
Lineage: Eukaryota; Metazoa; Chordata; Mammalia; Primates; Hominidae
Rfam family: Metazoan signal recognition particle RNA
About the family: The signal recognition particle (SRP) is a universally conserved ribonucleoprotein. It is involved in the co-translational targeting of proteins to membranes.
Source: Rfam
GCCGGGCAUGGUGGCUCGCGCCUGUAAUCCCAGCACUUUGGGAGGCUGAGGUGGGCGGAUCACCUGAGGUCAGGAGUUUGAGACCAGCCUGGCCAACAUGGUGAGACCCCAUCUCUA